Molecule: ribosomal RNA, 253 nt
Filed under: uncultured bacterium
Lineage: Bacteria
Description: partial 16S ribosomal RNA
Rfam family: Bacterial small subunit ribosomal RNA
Source: RNAcentral
GACGUAGGGCGCGAGCGUUGUCCGGAUUUACUGGGCGUAAAGAGCGCGCAGGCGGUCGUUCAAGUCGCGUGUGAAAGCCCCCGGCUCAACUGGGGAGGGUCACGCGAUACUGAUCGACUCGAAGGCAGGAGAGGGUAGUGGAAUUCCCGGUGUAGUGGUGAAAUGCGUAGAUAUCGGGAGGAGCACCAGUGGCGAAGGCGACUACCCGGCCUGUUCUUGACGCUGAGGCGCGAAAGCUAGGGGAGCAAACGGG